Hymenopellis radicata is the source of this 100-nucleotide non-coding RNA. Lineage: Eukaryota; Fungi; Basidiomycota; Agaricomycetes; Agaricales; Physalacriaceae. The record is from the annotation of a GenBank genome assembly.
UCGGAUAUGGUGUAACGGCUAACAUUGCCGCCUCUCAUUGGUGCGUGCGCGUCUUGUGGCCUUCUCGCGGCAGCUCGGGGUUCGAUUCCCCGUAUCCGAA